AGCACUUGAUCAAAGAUGGAAAAGAAGGGCCCACUUUUUACAUUUUUGCAAAUGGUUGUCAAUUGCCAAAUGCAAAUAUGUCUUCAUUUCCUUUUUAAAGUAAUUAACUGGCUGUUUCUGUUCUUGUUAUUUUUUGGUGUAUUCCUUCCAUCAGAAAGUUGGUAAACUUAACUAGCUACCUUCCCAAUUGCUCAUUGUUUUCCAAUCAUUAUACCUUUACUUUUGUCAAUAAAAACCCAAAUAUAUUAUUAAAUUAUAUUAUAUUUUUUUAAUUUUUAUCAUUAAUUUUUUAAUAUUAUAUUUCUAUCUUUUAUUUUUGAAUAAUGAUUUGCUUCAAAUUAGUACUAGAAACUCAAAUUAUACUAUAUAAUGUAUAGUUGCAUGAAAUAUGCAAAUUACUUACGUAUAUCAUCAUCGCUAAACGG
This 425-nucleotide unclassified non-coding RNA is filed under the name Hevea brasiliensis (rubber tree). Lineage: Eukaryota; Viridiplantae; Streptophyta; Magnoliopsida; Malpighiales; Euphorbiaceae. The record is from RNAcentral.